This 466-nucleotide ribosomal RNA is filed under the name uncultured bacterium. RNAcentral describes it as "partial 16S ribosomal RNA". It matches the Rfam family "Bacterial small subunit ribosomal RNA", at positions 28 to 507 of the family's 1533-position model. The record is from RNAcentral.
GACGAACGCUGGCGGCGCGCCUAACACAUGCAAGUCGAACGAGCGAGAGAGAGCUUGCUUUCUUGAGCGAGUGGCGAACGGGUGAGUAACGCGUGAGGAACCUGCCUCAAAGAGGGGGACAACAGUUGGAAACGACUGCUAAUACCGCAUAAGCCCACGCCCCGGCAUCGGGUUGAGGGAAAAGGAGCAAUCCGCUUUGAGAUGGCCUCGCGUCCGAUUAGCUAGUUGGUGAGGUAACGGCCCACCAAGGCGACGAUCGGUAGCCGGACUGAGAGGUUGAACGGCCACAUUGGGACUGAGACACGGCCCAGACUCCUACGGGAGGCAGCAGUGGGGAAUAUUGCACAAUGGGGGAAACCCUGAUGCAGCGACGCCGCGUGGAGGAAGAAGGUAUUCGGAUUGUAAACUCCUGUUGUUGAGGAAGAUAAUGACGGUACUCAACAAGGAAGUGACGGCUAACUACGUG